RNAcentral lists this ribosomal RNA (253 nucleotides) under uncultured bacterium. RNAcentral's name for it is "partial 16S ribosomal RNA". It matches the Rfam family "Bacterial small subunit ribosomal RNA", at positions 524 to 776 of the family's 1533-position model. The record is from RNAcentral.
UACGUAGGGUGCAAGCGUUAAUCGGAAUUACUGGGCGUAAAGCGUGCGCAGGCGGUUGGGCAAGACAGAUGUGAAAGCCCCGGGCUCAACCUGGGAAUUGCGAUGGAGACUGCAAGGCUUGAAUCUGGCAGAGGGGGGUAGAAUUCCACGUGUAGCAGUGAAAUGCGUAGAGAUGUGGAGGAACACCGAUGGCGAAGGCAGCCCCCUGGGUCAAGAUUGACGCUCAUGCACGAAAGCGUGGGGAGCAAACAGG